This 790-nucleotide ribosomal RNA is filed under the name uncultured bacterium. Its description in RNAcentral is "bacterial SSU rRNA". It matches the Rfam family "Bacterial small subunit ribosomal RNA", at positions 8 to 796 of the family's 1533-position model. The record is from RNAcentral.
AGAGUUUGAUCAUGGCUCAGGAUGAACGCUAGCGGCAGGCCUAAUACAUGCAAGUCGAGGGGCAGCAUAGUAGCAAUACUGAUGGCGACCGGCGCACGGGUGCGUAACGCGUAUGCAACCUACCUUUUACUGGGGGAUAGCCCGGAGAAAUUCGGAUUAACACCGCAUAAUAAGUUGAUAUGGCAUCAUAUUGAUUUUAAAAAUUUAUUGGUAAAAGAUGGGCAUGCGUCCAAUUAGCUAGUUGGUGAGGUAAUGGCUCACCAAGGCGAUGAUUGGUAGGGGUUCUGAGAGGAAGGUCCCCCACACUGGUACUGAGAUACGGACCAGACUCCUACGGGAGGCAGCAGUAGGGAAUAUUGGGCAAUGGGCGAGAGCCUGACCCAGCCAUGCCGCGUGCAGGAAGAAGGCCUUCUGGGUUGUAAACUGCUUUUGAUCGGGAACAAAACGGCCAUGCGUGGCAAUUUGAGUGUACCGAUAGAAUAAGCACCGGCUAACUCCGUGCCAGCAGCCGCGGUAAUACGGAGGGUGCAAGCGUUGUCCGGAUUUAUUGGGUUUAAAGGGUGCGUAGGCGGCCCUAUAAGUCAGUGGUGAAAUACUGCAGCUUAACUGUAGCAUUGCCAUUGAUACUGUAGGGCUUGAGUACAGAUGAGGUAGGCGGAAUUGAUGGUGUAGCGGUGAAAUGCAUAGAUACCAUCAAGAACACCGAUUGCGAAGGCAGCUUACUAAGCUGUAACUGACGCUGAGGCACGAAAGCGUGGGGAUCGAACAGGAUUAGAUACCCUAGUAGUCC